CAUUAUUGAAUACGAUUGGUACUGAUGCUGGCUCUUCACUGAGCAUGUGCUCGUCCAUUCUAUUUAUCUUCUCUUGUGCACACUUUGUAGUCUUGAAUGAAACCUCUCGCAGUCAAAUGCGGUUUGGGGGCUUGGGUGUUUCUUGCGCCCUGCUCCUGCUUCUUCAAGGCUAUGUUUUCAUAUACACUAUAAAGUUACAGAAUGUCUUUUAACGAUUGCGCUUGUCGUAGUCAUUAAACCUAUACAACUUUCAGCAACGGAUCUCUUGGCUCUCCUAUCGAUGAAGAACGCAGCGAAAUGCGAUAAGUAAUGUGAAUUGCAGAAUUCAGUGAAUCAUCGAAUCUUUGAACGCACCUUGCGCCCUUUGGUAUUCCGAAGGGCAUGCCUGUUUGAGUGUCAUUAAAUUCUCAACCUUGCUCGCUUUUACCGGCUUGAGUUAGGCUUGGAUGUGAGGGCUUUGCUGGCUUCCUUCAGUGGAUGGUCUGCUCCCUUUAAAUGCAUUAGUGGGAUCUCUUGUGGACCGUCACUUGGUGUGAUAAUUAUCUACGCCAUCUUGACUUUGAAGCAAAACUUAUGGGAACCCGCUCAUAACCGUCUUCGGACAAUCUUUGACUUUUGACCUCAAAUCAGGUAGGACUACCCGCUGAACUUAAGCAUAUC
This 660-nucleotide ribosomal RNA is filed under the name uncultured fungus. Its description in RNAcentral is "eukaryotic LSU rRNA". The stretch from base 246 to 399 matches the Rfam family "5.8S ribosomal RNA". Lineage: Eukaryota; Fungi. The record is from RNAcentral.